Molecule: long non-coding RNA, 444 nt
Organism: Ostrea edulis (European flat oyster)
Lineage: Eukaryota; Metazoa; Mollusca; Bivalvia; Ostreida; Ostreidae
Exons: 2
Source: RefSeq, a predicted model, not a curated record
CGUUGAGAGAACAAUUGGUCAUAAAACGGUUCCAUGUUCUUCAUGGAGAAAUACGUCAGCAUCCUCAACGUGCCAGCAAUGUCAUCAUAGCAUGCGGAGUUUUACAUAACAUCGCAAAAAUGUUCAAUCUGCCCCUCCCUGACGAUGAUGACAAAUCAGAUGCUUACAAUGACAAUGGAAAUGCCAAUGACCACAUGGUUGCAGAUAUCCAGGGUACAGAUGGUCGAGCUUACAGAAACCACAUUGUUUCUGCUCAUUUUAUGUAAAUAGAUGCGGGUCAAUUACGGUAUGGGUGCAACAAUUGGUAGGACAUGCGUUUGGCUGUGGGACAGUAACAAAGUUUAUUUGUUGCUGCCCAUCUCCAGAUUCACUGGUGCUGAUGACAUGAAGAUCUUGAGUCACAAGGCCAUCUGAUUCACUGAAAUAAAAGGAAUCGAAUUCUUA